Molecule: long non-coding RNA, 1349 nt
Organism: Ipomoea nil (Japanese morning glory)
Lineage: Eukaryota; Viridiplantae; Streptophyta; Magnoliopsida; Solanales; Convolvulaceae
Exons: 3
Source: RefSeq, a predicted model, not a curated record
CGGGCAGCAGCUUACUUCUACCUCUCUUCUUUCUUUUCAUCAGCAGCGCACUCCUUUCACCCCUUCAUCUAUUAUCAACCACAAAUCCUAAUCUACCAUUCUUCUGAUUCUAAUUCUUCGCCGUAAGCCUCGCGACUAUAUCUAGAAACAGGAACAAAAGCAUGGAAACAAAUCAAAUCUAAACAAAUAGACAUGCAAAUCGCGUAGGUCCAUUGAGAGAAAAUUUCCGAUUAUACUGUAUCUGGAAAAUUCAGUAUUAGAGCAUGCACAAGCGGGGAAGAAAGAUCUAUAGUAUAGGAAUGUAUCAACUCCAAAUGAUAGAAGAUAAGUUUCUAUUCAAAGAUUUGAAGGCAUUUUUUUUUUUGGAAUUUUAUAGUUCACACACACACACAUAUAAAUGCAAAUCCCACUUAUACUUACAUUCUUUAAUUCUCACAAAGGUCAUCCUAAGUCCUAAAGCUUCUUUCAUAUUCACCAAUAUUCAUCAUGUAUUUGAAUGUUCCACUAAGUUUGAAUGCUUGCAUGUUCCUUUUCCUAUAUUCUGAUAUAUUAUAUAUAGUAUAAAUUGUUUUGUGCCAUUUUUUAAACUUGCAUACAUGCUUUAAACUUGGAUUUGAGAAUUCCACUUCUUGAGAUUAUUACUUGCUUUAAUUCUCACAAUGGUAAUUCUGAGCUAUCUAUUUCCAUAAGGAUGUAUUUGAAUGUUGUCCAAAUAGCAUCUGCACACUCAAUUUCCGUUUCCUUUUCUUAUAUUCUGAUAUAUAACAUAAUUUUUAUUAAAAUGCAAUCAACAUAGAGCUCCUAGUGAAUAUUUGCUUCACUAAGAUGCAUGAAUAUGAUGAACAUAAUAUACAGUAACUAAGAGAACAAUGUAAGAUAUUAUUACCAUUGAGAAUGUAAGAAUAGGCAUGUACUUACUUGGGUUUGAGUUAUGUUGCUAUUAUGAUCAUUCUUUGUUCUCAAUAAAUUCAGGUGUCAAUGGAAGUAAGAACACAGGAAAUUAAUACAGGGUGCAGGGGUAUUGCUUGGUAUGCUAUUGAAAUCCUUCAAAAUGGUUUCUAUUAGCUUUUUUUUGAGCUUGUGUGUUCAUGCUCAGCUUGGCCUCCCCGUCUCCAUUUUUCUGCAAAUCAAAUGAGAAGCAAUUCAAAACAAAUGAGAAGUAAUCAGUCCUUCAAAUGUCCAUAACUAUCAAAAAUGGAGAAAGUGAAUACUCCGUGUAGAUGUGGGUGCAGAACCAUCUAUUUAUAGGCUUUAUCUUUUUAAAAUUUUAUUUUAAAAAUAUGUACUUGUUUGUGUUGUACUUGUCAGUAAAAAUUAAAUUUUUAAUGCAUUGGAAAUAGCAAGCUGAA